Molecule: ribosomal RNA, 349 nt
Filed under: Sicarius levii
Lineage: Eukaryota; Metazoa; Arthropoda; Arachnida; Araneae; Sicariidae
Description: partial 16S ribosomal RNA
Rfam family: Bacterial large subunit ribosomal RNA (bases 12-306)
Source: RNAcentral
UUUCAUAUACCAGAAAGACAACAAGACCCUGACGAACUUAAUAUAUUUAGCUGGGGCAGCUGUAAAACAAAACCUUAAUCAUAAUCAAAACUCACGACCCAAUCAUAUUGAUCUAAGAACAAGUUACCGCAGGGAUAACAGUAUAAUCGGGUUUAAGAGACCUUAUCUAAUACCCGCCAUUUAACCUCGAUGUUGAAUUAAUGUCCCUAUAUUUAGCAAGAUAAAUACAAGGGGGUCUGUUCGACCCAUAACACAUUACAUGAUUUGAGUUCAGACCGGCGCAAGCCAGGUCAGCUUAUAUCUUCUUACAAAAAAGUGCUAGUACGAAAGGACCUCACAAAAAAUUUCA